RNAcentral lists this ribosomal RNA (406 nucleotides) under uncultured bacterium. RNAcentral describes it as "partial 16S ribosomal RNA". It matches the Rfam family "Bacterial small subunit ribosomal RNA", at positions 30 to 526 of the family's 1533-position model. The record is from RNAcentral.
AUUGAACGCUGGCGGCAGGCCUAACACAUGCAAGUCGAACGAGUGGCGGACGGGUGAGUAAUGUCUGGGAAACUGCCUGAUGGAGGGGGGUAACUCCUGGAAACGGUAGCUAAUACCGCAUACCAUCGGAUGUGCCCAGAUGGUCUUAGCUAGUAGGUGGGGUAAAGGCUCACCUAGGCGAGGAUCCCUAGCUGGCCUGAGAGGAUGACCAGCCACACUGGAACUGAGACACGGUCCAGACUCCUACGGGAGGCAGCAGUGGGGAAUAUGGCACAAUGGGCGCAAGCCUGAUGGAGCAAUGCCGCGUGUAUGAAGAAGGCCUUCGGGUUGUAAAGUACUUUCAGCGGGGAGGCGUUAACCGCAGAAGAAGCACCGGCUAACUCCGUGCCAGCAGCCGCGGUAAUAC